RNAcentral lists this transfer RNA (69 nucleotides) under Tridacna gigas (giant clam). Its description in RNAcentral is "tRNA-Phe". Lineage: Eukaryota; Metazoa; Mollusca; Bivalvia; Cardiida; Cardiidae. The record is from RNAcentral.
GCCUAAGUAGCUAAAUUUUGAUAGCAUUGCUUUGAAGCAGCAAAGGUGGGCGUAUUGUUCCCUUAGGCA